Molecule: long non-coding RNA, 1427 nt
Organism: Homo sapiens (human)
Lineage: Eukaryota; Metazoa; Chordata; Mammalia; Primates; Hominidae
Exons: 3
Source: RefSeq, a predicted model, not a curated record
AGAGCAUCGAGCCCCGGUCUUGCUGACCUCAGGGUGAUGGCCCUGAAAGGGGGACGGGACCAGCUUGGGGCUAGUCUGAAGGAAGACACAGAGACAAGAGAGCCCCUUGAGAGACAGGGUCAGGGGCCUGAACGAGGGGCUAUGGAGGGUUCGUACAGCCCUGGAGACCAUGGGCUACUGGGUUGCUAAGUGCUGGAAACACCUGCAUGUCCCCCAGGCACCACGGCAGCUCUGAGAAGAGGACUCUGUGAGGGGAGGGCGGAAAUGGGGAAGCUGGGAUACAGAAGAUCAGGGAGAGCAAAAGGGGAGUGCCUCGCCCCUCCCAGGGGCCUCGUUCCUAUGGCAACACUCCCAAUGAAGCUCUUGGAAGAAAAAGCAGGAGAAUCGUCAUUGCUCCCCAGGCCUCAGAUGCAGCGUCUCACCCUCCACAUCUGGCUCCGGCCAAAGCCCUGAAAUGCCAGGGCCAGCGCUGGGGAAGGCACUCUGUGUGCUCUGGCCCAUGAGUGAGCCUGGCAUCUCCCUCCCCCAAGGCCACAAAGAUAAGAGGCCUAAAGAACAGCUCCCAGGAGCAGCCUGGCUGUGCUAAUCACAGCGAGUUCCGAGGCCCUCUUCCCUAACACCUGUCUGCAAGCCCCAAAUUAUCACCGGGAGGGAGAAGGAAUGCCUCCUUCAGACACAGCCUCCCUUGCUCCUUCGCUGAGAGGCUGCCACAGGCCAGGUUCAAACUCCAUUCCUUUGGCCCCCACCACCUGGGUGCCACGCUCACUUGCUUUCCCACAUUGUUUACAAAGUUCCUUUUGCCUGGCAACCGCCAGGCCGGGUGUGGGGGACAGUGGGCAACAUAACUGGAGGCCUGUCCACGUGAGGCAUGCAGCGUGGUGAGUGAGGCAAACGGCAGCCAAGGACUCGCGGGAGCAUCUGAUUACGCACGGGGUGAACGCUGGAGCACCUACUAUCCUGCAGGCUCCAGGGGACAAGAGCCCAAGUGAGGCUGCCAGGCGGGAGGCUGCUGCAGGGGACCAGGUUGGCUCAGAAAACCGGAGGUGAAGCUGAAGCAGCCCAGCUGGCCCUAAGAAGCCCUGGACGCUCCCUCCCAUCCUCACAUCGUUGAGUCAAUGCUAUUAUUUGAAUGUCUGUGUCCCCUCCAAAAUUCAUGUUGGAACUUAAUCCUUAAGGAGCAGUUUUAAGAGAUGGGGCCUUUAGGUCAUGAGGGCUCUGCUCUAUGAAUGGAUUAGUGUCUUAUAAAAGGGCUUGAGGGGGCCAGUUCCCCCCUCUUCAGUCCCAUAUGCCAUGUGAAGACACAGUUCAUGGUGCCAUCUUGGAAGCAGAGAGCAACCCUUAACAGACACUGAACAAGCCCGUGCCUUGAUCUUGGACUUCACAGCGUCCAGAACAGUGAGAAAUAAAUUUCUGUUGUUUACAAAUUA